Molecule: small RNA, 109 nt
Filed under: Otolemur garnettii (small-eared galago)
Lineage: Eukaryota; Metazoa; Chordata; Mammalia; Primates; Galagidae
Description: Y RNA (ENSOGAG00000022938.1)
Source: RNAcentral
GGGUGACAAAGUGAGACUCUAAGAAAAAAAAAUUAGUAAUUAAUCCCAAACAGCUACAGAUUUCUUUGUUCCUUCUCCAUUCCCACUGCUCCACUUUGACUAAGCUUUA